RNAcentral lists this ribosomal RNA (1249 nucleotides) under Staphylococcus aureus M0239. RNAcentral describes it as "bacterial SSU rRNA". It matches the Rfam family "Bacterial small subunit ribosomal RNA", at positions 8 to 1238 of the family's 1533-position model. Lineage: Bacteria; Bacillati; Bacillota; Bacilli; Caryophanales; Staphylococcaceae. The record is from RNAcentral.
AGAGUUUGAUCCUGGCUCAGGAUGAACGCUGGCGGCGUGCCUAAUACAUGCAAGUCGAGCGAACGGACGAGAAGCUUGCUUCUCUGAUGUUAGCGGCGGACGGGUGAGUAACACGUGGAUAACCUACCUAUAAGACUGGGAUAACUUCGGGAAACCGGAGCUAAUACCGGAUAAUAUUUUGAACCGCAUGGUUCAAAAGUGAAAGACGGUCUUGCUGUCACUUAUAGAUGGAUCCGCGCUGCAUUAGCUAGUUGGUAAGGUAACGGCUUACCAAGGCAACGAUGCAUAGCCGACCUGAGAGGGUGAUCGGCCACACUGGAACUGAGACACGGUCCAGACUCCUACGGGAGGCAGCAGUAGGGAAUCUUCCGCAAUGGGCGAAAGCCUGACGGAGCAACGCCGCGUGAGUGAUGAAGGUCUUCGGAUCGUAAAACUCUGUUAUUAGGGAAGAACAUAUGUGUAAGUAACUGUGCACAUCUUGACGGUACCUAAUCAGAAAGCCACGGCUAACUACGUGCCAGCAGCCGCGGUAAUACGUAGGUGGCAAGCGUUAUCCGGAAUUAUUGGGCGUAAAGCGCGCGUAGGCGGUUUUUUAAGUCUGAUGUGAAAGCCCACGGCUCAACCGUGGAGGGUCAUUGGAAACUGGAAAACUUGAGUGCAGAAGAGGAAAGUGGAAUUCCAUGUGUAGCGGUGAAAUGCGCAGAGAUAUGGAGGAACACCAGUGGCGAAGGCGACUUUCUGGUCUGUAACUGACGCUGAUGUGCGAAAGCGUGGGGAUCAAACAGGAUUAGAUACCCUGGUAGUCCACGCCGUAAACGAUGAGUGCUAAGUGUUAGGGGGUUUCCGCCCCUUAGUGCUGCAGCUAACGCAUUAAGCACUCCGCCUGGGGAGUACGACCGCAAGGUUGAAACUCAAAGGAAUUGACGGGGACCCGCACAAGCGGUGGAGCAUGUGGUUUAAUUCGAAGCAACGCGAAGAACCUUACCAAAUCUUGACAUCCUUUGACAACUCUAGAGAUAGAGCCUUCCCCUUCGGGGGACAAAGUGACAGGUGGUGCAUGGUUGUCGUCAGCUCGUGUCGUGAGAUGUUGGGUUAAGUCCCGCAACGAGCGCAACCCUUAAGCUUAGUUGCCAUCAUUAAGUUGGGCACUCUAAGUUGACUGCCGGUGACAAACCGGAGGAAGGUGGGGAUGACGUCAAAUCAUCAUGCCCCUUAUGAUUUGGGCUACACACGUGCUACAAUGGACAAU